CAAAUUGUAGCUUAAUUAAAGCAUCUCGCUUACACCGAGAAAAUGUCUGAUAAACCCGGACCACUUUGA
Molecule: transfer RNA, 69 nt
Filed under: Boana sp. 4 ML-2020
Lineage: Eukaryota; Metazoa; Chordata; Amphibia; Anura; Hylidae
Description: tRNA-Val
Rfam family: tRNA
About the family: Transfer RNA (tRNA) molecules are approximately 80 nucleotides in length.
Source: RNAcentral